UCCGGUUUGUCACCGGCAGUCCCAUUAGAGUGCCCAACUUAAUGUGGCAACUAAUGGCAAGGGUUGCGCUCGUUGCGGGACUUAACCCAACAUCUCACGACACGAGCUGACGACAGCCAUGCAGCACCUGUGUCUAGGUUCCCUUUCGGGCACACUCACAUCUCAGGAGUUUCCCAUGCAUGUCAAGCCUAGGUAAGGUUCUUCGCGUUGCGUCGAAUUAAUCCACAUAAUCCACCGCUUGUGCGGGUCCCCGUCAAUUCCUUUGAGUUUUAACCUUGCGGCCGUACUCCCCAGGCGGUCAACUUCACGCGUUAGCUUCGUUACCAAGGAAUUGCUUCCCCGACAACCAGUUGACAUAGUUUAGGGCGUGGACUAC
Molecule: unclassified non-coding RNA, 376 nt
Filed under: uncultured Gammaproteobacteria bacterium
Lineage: Bacteria; Pseudomonadati; Pseudomonadota; Gammaproteobacteria
Description: contains 16S-23S intergenic spacer region
Source: RNAcentral